RNAcentral lists this ribosomal RNA (426 nucleotides) under uncultured Phormidium sp. Its description in RNAcentral is "bacterial SSU rRNA". It matches the Rfam family "Bacterial small subunit ribosomal RNA", at positions 355 to 795 of the family's 1533-position model. Lineage: Bacteria; Bacillati; Cyanobacteriota; Cyanophyceae; Oscillatoriales; Oscillatoriaceae. The record is from RNAcentral.
UGGGGAAUUUUCCGCAAUGGGCGAAAGCCUGACGGAGCAAGACCGCGUGGGGGAAGAAGGCUCUUGGGUUGUAAACCCCUUUUCUCUGGGAAGAACAAAAUGACGGUACCAGAGGAAUCAGCAUCGGCUAACUCCGUGCCAGCAGCCGCGGUAAGACGGAGGAUGCAAGCGUUAUCCGGAAUGAUUGGGCGUAAAGCGUCCGCAGGUGGCAGUUCAAGUCUGCUGUCAAAGACCGGGGCUUAACCUCGGAAAGGCAGUGGAAACUGAACAGCUAGAGUAUGGUAGGGGCAAAGGGAAUUCCUGGUGUAGCGGUGAAAUGCGUAGAGAUCAGGAAGAACAUCGGUGGCGAAGGCGCUUUGCUGGACCAUAACUGACACUCAGGGACGAAAGCUAGGGGAGCGAAUGGGAUUAGAUACCCCAGUAGUC